CAUUUAUUAGUCUAAAUAGGAUUUUUUACUGUUAAUAAAGAGGAGUUAAUUAAACAUAGAUGG
RNAcentral lists this transfer RNA (63 nucleotides) under Setaphyes kielensis. RNAcentral describes it as "tRNA-Asn". Lineage: Eukaryota; Metazoa; Kinorhyncha; Allomalorhagida; Pycnophyidae. The record is from RNAcentral.